This 253-nucleotide ribosomal RNA is filed under the name uncultured bacterium. RNAcentral's name for it is "partial 16S ribosomal RNA". It matches the Rfam family "Bacterial small subunit ribosomal RNA", at positions 524 to 776 of the family's 1533-position model. The record is from RNAcentral.
UACGGAGGGUGCGAGCGUUGUUCGGAAUUACUGGGCGUAAAGCGCGUGUCGGCGGCUUGGCAAGUCAGAUGUGAAAUCCCCGGGCUCAACCCUGGAACGGCAUCUGAAACUACCUGGCUAGAGUCUCGGAGAGGAAGGCAGAAUUCCCGGUGUAGGGGUGAAAUCCGUAGAUACCGGGAGGAAUACCAGUAGCGAAGGCGGCCUUCUGGACGAUGACUGACGCUCAGACGCGAAAGCGUGGGGAGCAAACAGG